GACGAACGCUGGCGGCGUGCUUAACACAUGCAAGUCGAACGGAAAGGCCCUGCUUUUGUGGGGCGCUCGAGUGGCGAACGGGUGAGUAACACGUGAGUAACCCGCCCUUGAAUUUGGGAUAACUUCAGGAAACUGGGGCUAAUACCGGAUAGGAGCUCCUGCAGCGUGGGGGGGGUUGGAAAGUUUCGGCGGUGGGGGAUGGACUCGCGGCUUAUCAGCUUGUUGGUGGGGUAGUGGCUUACCAAGGCUUUGACGGGUAGCCGGCCUGAGAGGGUGACCGGCCACAUUGGGACUGAGAUACGGCCCAGACUCCUACGGGAGGCAGCAGUGGGGAAUAUUGCACAAUGGGCGGAAGCCUGAUGCAGCAACGCCGCGUGCGGGAUGACGGCCUUCGGGUUGUAAACCUCUUUCGCCUGUGACGAAGCGUGAGUGACGGUAAUGGGUAAAGAAGCACCGGCUAACUACGUG
Molecule: ribosomal RNA, 468 nt
Filed under: uncultured bacterium
Lineage: Bacteria
Description: partial 16S ribosomal RNA
Rfam family: Bacterial small subunit ribosomal RNA
Source: RNAcentral